CGUUGAGAAACAGGUGCUAGGUAUGAACGAGUAAGCUACUAAAAAUAGGCGAGAUAUGGUUUCAAUAGCCUAAGAGUUCAUGGAAAGGGAUUCACAGAUAAGCGUGGGCAUGGGAAAGUAAAGUUAUGUAUGCAAGAGACAGGUAUGCACGGAAUAGGGAUAAGCGAGCACCGGGAGAGAUAUGCCAGUAAUAGGACUAGGUUUAGAGAAAUAGGCAUAUGUGAAUAGGGCUACUAGAUCAUUAAAGUAUAGGUUUUGGGUAAGCUCGCUCAUAUCGAAAGAAGAAAUCGAAGGAAAUGAAGCAUAAGCUGACUAGGUCAAAUCCUAGGCUAUUUCGAUAGACAAAAGAAAAUAGAAAAAGUAGUGAGUGAGAAAGAAAUAA
Zea mays is the source of this 382-nucleotide long non-coding RNA. RefSeq lists it as uncharacterized. The record is from RefSeq and is a predicted model, not a curated record. The transcript is spliced from 2 exons. NCBI's taxonomy places the organism in Eukaryota, Viridiplantae, Streptophyta, Magnoliopsida, Poales, Poaceae.